RNAcentral lists this ribosomal RNA (429 nucleotides) under Actinomycetes bacterium. RNAcentral describes it as "Actinobacteria bacterium partial 16S ribosomal RNA". It matches the Rfam family "Bacterial small subunit ribosomal RNA", at positions 355 to 776 of the family's 1533-position model. Lineage: Bacteria; Bacillati; Actinomycetota; Actinomycetes. The record is from RNAcentral.
UAGGGAAUCUUCCGCAAUGGGCGAAAGCCUGACGGAGCAACGCCGCGUGAGUGAUGAAGGUCUUCGGAUCGUAAAACUCUGUUAUUAGGGAAGAACAAAUGUGUAAGUAACUAUGCACGUCUUGACGGUACCUAAUCAGAAAGCCACGGCUAACUACGUGUCAGCAGCCGCGGUAAUACGUAGGUGGCAAGCGUUAUCCGGAAUUAUUGGGCGUAAAGCGCGCGUAGGCGGUUUUUUAAGUCUGAUGUGAAAGCCCACGGCUCAACCGUGGAGGGUCAUUGGAAACUGGAAAACUUGAGUGCAGAAGAGGAAAGUGGAAUUCCAUGUGUAGCGGUGAAAUGCGCAGAGAUAUGGGGGAACACCAGUGGCGAAGGCGACUUUCUGGUCUGUAACUGACGCUGAUGUGCGAAAGCGUGGGGAUCAAACAGG